CCGAGUUUACAACUCCCAAACCCCUGUGAACAUACCUAUACGUUGCCUCGGCGGAUCAGCCCGCGCCCCGUAAAAAGGGACGGCCCGCCGAGGUCCCUAAACUCUGUUUUUAGUGGAACUUCUGAGUAAAACAAACAAAUAAAUCA
Molecule: unclassified non-coding RNA, 146 nt
Filed under: soil metagenome
Description: partial internal transcribed spacer 1
Source: RNAcentral